CGUGGGGAGCAAACAGGAUUAGAUACCCUGGUAGUCCACGCCCUAAACGAUGCACACUAGUUGUUGCGAUGCUAGUCAUUGCAGUAAUGCACUUAACAGAUUAAGUGUGCCGCCUGGGGAGUACGGUCGCAAGAUUAAAACUCAAAGGAAUAGACGGGGACCCGCACAAGCGGUGGAGCAUGUGGUUUAAUUCGAAGAUACACGAAGAACCUUACCUGGGCUUGAUAUCCUUGGAAUCUUGUAGAGAUACGAGAGUGCUAGUUUACUAGAACCAAGAGACAGGUGCUGCACGGCUGUCGUCAGCUCGUGUCGUGAGAUGUUGGGUUAAGUCCCGCAACGAGCGCAACCCUCGUGAUUAGUUGCUAACAGUUCGGCUGAGCACUCUAAUCAGACUGCCUUCGCAAGGAGGAGGAAGGUGAGGACGACGUCAAGUCAUCAUGGCCCUUAUGCCCAGGGCUACACACGUGCUACAAUGGCGCGUACAAAGAGAGGCGAUACCGCGAGGUGGAGCAAAUCUUAAAAACGCGUCUCAGUUCGGAUUGGAGUCUGCAACUCGACUCCAUGAAGCUGGAAUCGCUAGUAAUCGUAGAUCAGAUAUGCUACGGUGAAUACGUUCCCGGGUCUUGUACUCACCGCCCGUCACACCAUGGGAGUUGAAUUCACCCGAAGCCGGAAUACUAAACUAGUUACCGACCACGGUGGGUUCAGCGACUGGGGUGAAGUCGUAACAAGGUAA
RNAcentral lists this ribosomal RNA (736 nucleotides) under uncultured bacterium. Its description in RNAcentral is "bacterial SSU rRNA". It matches the Rfam family "Bacterial small subunit ribosomal RNA", at positions 760 to 1499 of the family's 1533-position model. The record is from RNAcentral.